This 323-nucleotide long non-coding RNA is filed under the name Elaeis guineensis (African oil palm). RNAcentral describes it as "long non-coding RNA (EGUI_LNC079987)". Lineage: Eukaryota; Viridiplantae; Streptophyta; Magnoliopsida; Arecales; Arecaceae. The record is from RNAcentral.
UAUAUAUGGAAGAUUGUUGGUGCCUUAAUAAAUUUUUUCUUAUUUUUCUUGGAGUGUUCUUAGGUGUUUGAGACACUAAAAUCCUUCUCCACAUCCAAGAGUCAUUUUUAAAAAUUUUUAAGAUACAAAAAGGUGAUUUUGGUGUGGACUAUUGGUGCCCUUCCUUUGAAAAACCCUAAUUUCUAGUCUAUAAAAAGGGAUCCUCUUUCUUAGACAUCCCAUGAUCAAUUUUCUUGCUAUUUUUUGAUUUUUUUAGAGCUCUUCUCCUCCUUCUCUUUUUCUCUUAUAGAUCUUUGACUGCUUUGGAGUAUCCAAGGUGCUUG